CGCGCGCCGUACCCCCCUCCCUCUCCAUCCCCAAAAUUAAGCCACAUCAAAAUCAAAAAACAAUACUCCCAAACACCAUCAACCACCACAAACACCACCACCAUUAUCACCACCACCAUUAUCACCACCACCAUUAUUCUCAAGCUAUAACUAUUAUUAUUCUAAAAUCUCAUUUUAAAUUAAUGAAAAUAAGAAAAAUUACUAACCUAGGUUUUGUUGAAGGUUGUAGAUCGGAUGCCGGUGAGAGAUGGAGCCGCCGCCGACGAGGGUUGAUGUCGCCGCCGAUGAUGGGAGUUGGAUCGGUUUGGGAGAGAUGAGAAAAAGGGAGUGUUGGGGGAGAGAUGAGGGAGGGGUGUUUUGGUCUCAAAAGUUGUUUAAUGGCUAAUGUUGAUAGAAAUAUUUUUGGGGGGUUAAGAUGAAAAAAAUGAAAAUUUUAAUGGUUAUUAUUGAAAAUUUCCCAAAAAAAAUCACAAACGAGUGGUUAUUAAAUGCACACGUCAAUUUCUUCGCGUGCAUAAUAUGUAACCUAUGCAAGAGAGAACUUUUUUUUUUUUUGGACUGGUUGAACGUACGAAUUUAUUUUCUACUGAUUCUUUUUAAUUAAA
RNAcentral lists this long non-coding RNA (605 nucleotides) under Citrus x clementina. Its description in RNAcentral is "Citrus clementina (C. clementina) long non-coding RNA (CCLE_LNC000945)". Lineage: Eukaryota; Viridiplantae; Streptophyta; Magnoliopsida; Sapindales; Rutaceae. The record is from RNAcentral.